This 198-nucleotide long non-coding RNA is filed under the name Chinchilla lanigera (long-tailed chinchilla). RNAcentral describes it as "ZNFX1 antisense RNA 1 conserved region 1 (ENSCLAG00000018409.1)". It matches the Rfam family "ZNFX1 antisense RNA 1 conserved region 1". Lineage: Eukaryota; Metazoa; Chordata; Mammalia; Rodentia; Chinchillidae. The record is from RNAcentral.
GCCGAGGAGACCGAGCGGCCCAGAGAGUACGGGGAGGAGGGCGGGGCCAGGCUCGGCUCCGACGACCAUUGGAGCGCCUCGUGCUGGGCGGGCCAGAAACUACAUUUCCCAGGGAUCAUAGCGGGCAAAGCCCGGAAAGGGAGGGCCUCAGGCCCAGUGCGCACGCUCUUCAGUAGCCUGUGCCUAUAUAAGGGAGGU